This 464-nucleotide ribosomal RNA is filed under the name uncultured bacterium. Its description in RNAcentral is "partial 16S ribosomal RNA". It matches the Rfam family "Bacterial small subunit ribosomal RNA", at positions 338 to 795 of the family's 1533-position model. The record is from RNAcentral.
CCUACGGGUGGCAGCAGUAGGGAAUUUUCGUCAAUGGGCGCAAGCCUGAACGAGCAAUGCCGCGUGAACGAGGAAGGUCUUCGGAUCGUAAAGUUCUGUUGAAGGGGACAAAGAGCGGAGAGAGGAAAUGGUCUCCGAUUGAUAUUACCCUUCGAGGAAGUCACGGCUAACUACGUGCCAGCAGCCGCGGUAAUACGUAGGUGGCGAGCGUUAUCCGGAAUGAUUGGGCGUAAAGGGUGCGUAGGCGGCCUGCUAAGUCUGGAGUGAAAGGUACCGGCUCAACCGGUAUAGGCGUUGGAAACUGGCGGGCUAGAGAGCAGGAGAGGGCGGUGGAACUCCAUGUGUAGCGGUAAAAUGCGUAGAUAUAUGGAAGAACACCAGUGGCGAAGGCGGCCGCCUGGCCUGUUACUGACGCUGAGGCACGAAAGCGUGGGGAGCAAAUAGGAUUAGAGACCCCGGUAGUC